Molecule: long non-coding RNA, 291 nt
Organism: Liolophura sinensis
Lineage: Eukaryota; Metazoa; Mollusca; Polyplacophora; Chitonida; Chitonidae
Exons: 3
Source: RefSeq, a predicted model, not a curated record
AUUGAAGUUCUUUUUCUGGCGUGCAGAGGUUAGUUUGGUCCAACGAUUGUCAAGUACACUGAACGAUACCAGAACAUGUACGUCUACAGACACUCGGAGGGCAGUGGUGGUGGGGUGACGGUCAUACCGAGGUGACACUAGGAUUCUGCUGUUAUGAUGUCCAGCUUGAUGGUCCAACCUGUGAAGUUUUGGCCGUAGCCAACCGACACUUGGCCAAUGGCGGCAUGGACUGUCCCACUAGCCUUGUGAAGCCUUGUGAAGAUCGGAUUCUCCUUCCGAAGUCAAUAAAAC